GACGAACGCUGGCGGCGUGCUUAACACAUGCCAGUCGAACGGUGAAGCGCCUUCCUUUUUGGUGGGUGUGGAUGAGUGGCGAACGGGUGAGUAACACGUGAGUAACCUGCCCCCUUCUUCUGGAUAACCGCAUGAAAGUGUGGCUAAUACGGGAUAUUCUGGGUCUGUCGCAUGAUGGGUCUGGGAAAGAUAUUGUUUCGGUGGGGGAUGGGCUCGCGGCCUAUCAGCUUGUUGGUGGGGUGAUGGCCUACCAAGGCGGUGACGGGUAGCCGGCCUGAGAGGGUGGACGGUCACACUGGGACUGAGACACGGACCAGACUCCUACGGGAGGCAGCAGUGGGGAAUAUUGCACAAUGGGCGCAAGCCUGAUGCAGCGACGCCGCGUGAGGGAUGGAGGCCUUCGGGUUGUGAACCUCUUUCGCCAGUGAAGCAGGCCUGCCUCGUUUGUGGGUGGGUUGACGGUAGCUGGAUAAGAAGCGCCGGCUAACUACGUG
RNAcentral lists this ribosomal RNA (494 nucleotides) under uncultured bacterium. RNAcentral describes it as "partial 16S ribosomal RNA". It matches the Rfam family "Bacterial small subunit ribosomal RNA", at positions 28 to 507 of the family's 1533-position model. The record is from RNAcentral.